This 477-nucleotide ribosomal RNA is filed under the name uncultured bacterium. RNAcentral describes it as "bacterial SSU rRNA". It matches the Rfam family "Bacterial small subunit ribosomal RNA", at positions 28 to 507 of the family's 1533-position model. The record is from RNAcentral.
GAUGAACGCUAGCGACAGGCCUAACACAUGCAAGUCGAGGGGAAGGGCAGCAAUGCCCGAGACCGGCGCACGGGUGCGUAACGCGUAUGUAACCUGCCUUACACCGGGGGAUAGCCUUCCGAAAGGGAGAUUAAUACCGCAUAAUACUAUUUGUCAGCAUUGGCUUAUAGUUAAAACUGAGGUGGUGUAAGAUGGGCAUGCGUAUGAUUAGCUAGUUGGGGGGGGUAACGGCCCACCAAGGCGACGAUCAUUAGGGGUUCUGAGAGGAAGAUCCCCCACACUGGUACUGAGACACGGACCAGACUCCUACGGGAGGCAGCAGUGAGGAAUAUUGGUCAAUGGGCGGAAGCCUGAACCAGCCAUGUCGCGUGCAGGAAGACUGCCCUAUGGGUUGUAAACUGCUUUUGUAUGGGAAGAACACCAGAUACGAGUAUCUGUCUGCCGGUACCAUACGAAUAAGGAUCGGCUAACUCCGUG